Potamilus streckersoni is the source of this 73-nucleotide non-coding RNA. NCBI's taxonomy places the organism in Eukaryota, Metazoa, Mollusca, Bivalvia, Unionida, Unionidae. The record is from the annotation of a GenBank genome assembly.
GCUCCGGUGGCCUAGUGGUUAGAUCAUCCGCCUAGGAUGCGGGAGGCUGCGGGUUCCAACCCCAGCCGAGUCA